This 440-nucleotide ribosomal RNA is filed under the name uncultured bacterium. Its description in RNAcentral is "partial 16S ribosomal RNA". It matches the Rfam family "Bacterial small subunit ribosomal RNA", at positions 338 to 795 of the family's 1533-position model. The record is from RNAcentral.
CCUACGGGAGGCAGCAGUGGGGAAUAUUGCACAAUGGGGGAAACCCUGAUGCAGCGACGCCGCGUGAGUGAAGAAGUAUUUCGGUAUGUAAAGCUCUAUCAGCAGGGAAGAAAAUGACGGUACCUGAUUAAGAAGCCCCGGCUAACUACGUGCCAGCAGCCGCGGUAAUACGUAGGGGGCAAGCGUUAUCCGGAUUUACUGGGUGUAAAGGGAGCGUAUACGGCAGCACAAGUCUGGAGUGAAAUGCCUGGGCUUAACCCCGGAACUGCUUUGGAAACUGUGCAGCUAGAGUGCAGGAGAGGUAAGUGGAAUUCCUAGUGUAGCGGUGAAAUGCGUAGAUAUUAGGCGGAACACCAGUGGCGAAGGCGGCUUACUGGACUGUAACUGACGUUGAGGCUCGAAAGCGUGGGGAGCAAACAGGAUUAGAUACCCGAGUAGUC